UUAGACAGCUAGGAUGUUGGCUUAGAAGCAGCCAUCAUUUAAAGAAAGCGUAAUAGCUCACUAGUCGAGUCGGCCUGCGCGGAAGAUGUAACGGGGCUGAAAUAUAGCACCGAAGCUGCGGCAUCAGACGAAAGUCUGUUGGGUAGGGGAGCGUUGUGUAAGCGGAUGAAGGUUAAUCGAGAGGUUAGCUGGACGUAUCACAAGUGCGAAUGCUGACAUAAGUAACGAUAAAACGAGUGAAAAACUCGUUCGCCGGAAGACCAAGGGUUCCUGUCCAACGUUAAUCGGGGCAGGGUGAGUCGGCCCCUAAGGCGAGGCUGAAAAGCGUAGUCGAUGGGAAACAGGUUAAUAUUCCUGUACUUGGUAAAGCUGCGAUGUGGGGACGGAGUAGGUUAGGUUAGCGUGCUGUUGGAUAUGCACGUUUAAGUUGGUAGGUGGGAAGUUUAGGCAAAUCCGGACUUCCUUAACACUGAGAGAUGAUGACGAGGCUCUACGGAGCUGAAGUAACUGAUACCACACUUCCAGGAAAAGCCACUAAGCGACAGGUUUUACUAAACCGUACUGAAAACCGACACAGGUGGUCAGGUAGAGAAUACUCAGGCGCUUGAGAGAACUCGGGUGAAGGAACUAGGCAAAAUAGCACCGUAACUUCGGGAGAAGGUGCGCCGGCGUAG
This 674-nucleotide ribosomal RNA is filed under the name Haemophilus influenzae. Its description in RNAcentral is "bacterial LSU rRNA". It matches the Rfam family "Bacterial large subunit ribosomal RNA", at positions 1085 to 1759 of the family's 2925-position model. Lineage: Bacteria; Pseudomonadati; Pseudomonadota; Gammaproteobacteria; Pasteurellales; Pasteurellaceae. The record is from RNAcentral.